UGGAUGUUUAACCCCCUGGACGUAUACUGAAUGUAUCCUGAGCUUCAUUCAUUCCGGUAUACCUUCAGUAUACGUAACAGGAGGCAACACUUUCAAC
RNAcentral lists this microRNA precursor (97 nucleotides) under Daphnia pulex (common water flea). Its description in RNAcentral is "microRNA dpu-mir-iab precursor (dpu-mir-iab-4)". Its record names the gene dpu-mir-iab-4. The record is from miRBase by way of RNAcentral. Lineage: Eukaryota; Metazoa; Arthropoda; Branchiopoda; Diplostraca; Daphniidae.